This 508-nucleotide ribosomal RNA is filed under the name uncultured bacterium. RNAcentral describes it as "bacterial SSU rRNA". It matches the Rfam family "Bacterial small subunit ribosomal RNA", at positions 28 to 520 of the family's 1533-position model. The record is from RNAcentral.
GACGAACGCUGGCGGCGUGCCUAAUACAUGCAAGUCGAGCGGACCAAAGGGAGCUUGCUCCUGGAGGUCAGCGGCGAACGGGUGAGUAACACGUGGGCAACCUGCCUGUAAGACUGGGAUAACAUCGAGAAAUCGGUGCUAAUACCGGAUAAUAAAAAGAACUGCAUGGUUCUUUUUGAAAGAUGGUUUCGGCUAUCACUUACAGAUGGCCCGCGGCGCAUUAGCUAGUUGGUGAGGUAACGGCUCACCAAGGCAACGAUGCGUAGCCGACCUGAGAGGGUGAUCGGCCACACUGGGACUGAGACACGGCCCAGACUCCUACGGGAGGCAGCAGUAGGGAAUCUUCCGCAAUGGACGAAAGUCUGACGGAGCAACGCCGCGUGAGUGAUGAAGGUUUUCGGAUCGUAAAACUCUGUUGUUAGGGAAGAACAAGUGCCGUUCGAAAGGGCGGCACCUUGACGGUACCUAACGAGAAAGCCACGGCUAACUACGUGCCAGCAGCCGACGG